This 78-nucleotide transfer RNA is filed under the name Blastopirellula marina. RNAcentral describes it as "tRNA-Pro". It matches the Rfam family "tRNA". Rfam says of the family: Transfer RNA (tRNA) molecules are approximately 80 nucleotides in length. Lineage: Bacteria; Pseudomonadati; Planctomycetota; Planctomycetia; Pirellulales; Pirellulaceae. The record is from RNAcentral.
UUUGUGGUCGCUCCAACGGGAUAGGAGCAUCAGUUUUGGGAACUGAAGGUACAGGUUCGAAUCCUGUUCACAACACCC